CCACUUUUACAUUUAAAAUCCGGUACCUUACAAUUAGACUACUCAGUUGCGCCCUAACAGUAUAACUUUGCAACGAGUACUUUUUCUCAUUCUAUCGAAUAAGGAGUAAACCAAUUAUAUUGUUCUAUUAUACCCCGAGAGUGUAAAUUUGGAACGAAUCGAUGUCAACGUUCACAAGAAUCAAAACCGGAACAACAUUAGACUAUUCAGUAGCGCACUAACAGUAUAACUUUGCAAGGAGUACUUUUUCUUAUUCUAUCGAACAGAGAGUAAAACCUAAUUAUAUUGUUCUAUUAUGCCCCGAGAGUGUAAAUUUGGAACGAAUCGAUUAAACGUUCACAAGAACCAAAACAGGAACAAAGUUAGGCAACUCAGUUGAGCCCUAAAAGUAUAACUUUACAACUAGUACUUUUUCUCAUUCAAUCGAACAAAGAGCAAAACCUAAUUUUAUUGUUCUAUUAUGCCACGGGAGUGUAAAUUUGGAACGAAUCGAUGUCAACGUUCACUAGACCCAAAACCGGAACAACAUUAGACAACUCAGUUGUCCCAUAACAGUAUAACUUUGCAACGAGUACUUUUUCUCAUUCUAUCGAAUAAGGAGUAAAAGCUUUCUAUUAUGCCCUGAGAGUGUAAAUUGAACGAAUCGAUGUCAACGUUCACAAGAACCAAAAUUGGAACAAAGUUAGGCUACUCAGUUGAGCCCUAAUAGUAUAACUUUGCAACCAGUACAUUUUUUCAUUCAAUCGAACAAAGUGCAAGAACUAAUUAUAUGGUUCUAUUAUGCCCCGAGAGUUUAAAUUUGGAACGAAUCGAUAUAAACGUUCACAAGACCCAAAAUCGGAACAAAGUUAGACUACUCAGUUGAGCCCUAAAAGUAUAACUUUACAACUAGUACUUUUUCUCAUUCGAUCGAACAAAGAGCAAAACCUAAUUUUAUUGUUCUAUUAUGCUCCGGGAGUGUAAAUUUGGAACGAAUCGAUGUCAACGUUUACAAGAACCAAAACCGGAACAAUAUUAGACUACUCAGUUGAGCGCUAACAGUAUAACUUUGCAACUAGUACUUUUUCUCAUUCAAUCGAUCAAAGAGCAAAACCUAAUUAUAUUCUUCUAUUAUGCCCCGAGAGUGUAAAUUUGGAACGAAUCGAUGUAAACGUUCACAAGAACCAAAACCGGAACAAAGUUAUACUACUCAGUUGAGCCCAAACAGUAUAACUUUGCAACUAGUACUUUUUCUCCUUCAAUCGAACAAAGAGCAAAACCAAAUUAUAUUGUUCUAUUAUACCCCGAGAGUGUAAAUUUGGAACGAAUCGAUGUCAACGUUCACAAGAACCAAAACCGGAACAAGAUUAGACUACUCAGUUGCGCCACAACAGUAUAACUUUGCAACGAUUACUUUUUCUCAUUCUAUCGAACAAAGGGUAAAACCUUUCUAUUAUGCCCCGAAAGUGUAAAUUUGGAACGAAUCGAUGUGAACGUUCACAAGAACCAAAACCGGAACAAAUUAUACUACUCAUUGCGCCGUAACAGUAUAACUUUGCAACUAGUACUUUUUCUCAUUCAAUCGAACAAAGAGCAAAACCUAAUUAUAUUCUUCUAUUAUGCCCCGAGAGUGUAAAUUUGGAAUGAAUCGAUGUAAACGUUCACAAGAACCAAAACCGGAACAAAGCUAGACUACUCAGUUGAGCCCUAACUGUAUAACUUUGCAACGAGUACUUUUUAUCAUUCUAUUGAAUAAGUAGUAAAAGCUUUCUAUUAUGCCCCGAGAGUGUAAAUUUGGAACGAAUCGAUGUAAAUGAUCACAAGAACCAAAACCGGAACAAAGUUAUACUACUCAGUUGAGCCCUAACAGUAUAACUUUGCAACUAGUACUUUUUCUCAUUCAAUCGAACAAAGAGCAAAACCAAAUUAUAUUGUUCUAUUAUACCCCGAGAGUGUAAAUUUGGAACGAGUCGAUGUCAACGUUCACAAGAACCAAAACCGGAACAACAUUAGAUUACUCAGUUGCGCCAUAACAGUAUAACUUUGUAACGAGUUCUUUUUCUCAUUCUAUCGAACUAGGAGUAAAAACUUUCUAUUAUGCCCCGAGAGUGUAAAUUUGGAACGAAUCAAUGUAAACGAUCAAAAGAACCAAAAUCGGAACAAAAUUAGACUACUCAGUUGCGCCGUAACAAUAUAACUUUGCAACUAGUACUUUUUCUCAUUCAAUCAAACAAAGAGCAAAACCUAAUUAUAGUGUUCUAU
Molecule: long non-coding RNA, 2241 nt
Filed under: Ananas comosus (pineapple)
Lineage: Eukaryota; Viridiplantae; Streptophyta; Magnoliopsida; Poales; Bromeliaceae
Description: long non-coding RNA (ACOM_LNC038843)
Source: RNAcentral